This 489-nucleotide ribosomal RNA is filed under the name uncultured bacterium. RNAcentral's name for it is "partial 16S ribosomal RNA". It matches the Rfam family "Bacterial small subunit ribosomal RNA", at positions 30 to 506 of the family's 1533-position model. The record is from RNAcentral.
AUUGAACGCUGGCGGCAGGCCUAACACAUGCAAGUCGAACGGUAACAGGAAGAAGCUUGCUUCUUUGCUGACGAGUGGCGGACGGGUGAGUAAUGUCUGGGAAACUGCCUGAUGGAGGGGGAUAACUACUGGAAACGGUAGCUAAUACCGCAUAACGUCGCAAGACCAAAGAGGGGGACCUUCGGGCCUCUUGCCAUCGGAUGUGCCCAGAUGGGAUUAGCUAGUAGGUGGGGUAACGGCUCACCUAGGCGACGAUCCCUAGCUGGUCUGAGAGGAUGACCAGCCACACUGGAACUGAGACACGGUCCAGACUCCUACGGGAGGCAGCAGUGGGGAAUAUUGCACAAUGGGCGCAAGCCUGAUGCAGCCAUGCCGCGUGUAUGAAGAAGGCCUUCGGGUUGUAAAGUACUUUCAGCGGGGAGGGAGGGAGUAAAGUUAAUACCUUUGCUCAUCGACGUUACCCGCAGAAGAAGCACCGGCUAACUCCGU